GGAGGCGUAGCUCAGUCGGCAGAGCAACGGACUGUUAAUCCGUGGGGCGCAGGUUCAAGCCCUGCCGCUUCCG
Molecule: transfer RNA, 73 nt
Filed under: Caudoviricetes sp.
Lineage: Duplodnaviria; Heunggongvirae; Uroviricota; Caudoviricetes
Description: tRNA-Asn
Rfam family: tRNA
About the family: Transfer RNA (tRNA) molecules are approximately 80 nucleotides in length. Their secondary structure includes four short double-helical elements and three loops (D, anti-codon, and T loops). Further hydrogen bonds mediate the characteristic L-shaped molecular structure. tRNAs have two regions of fundamental functional importance: the anti-codon, which is responsible for specific mRNA codon recognition, and the 3' end, to which the tRNAs corresponding amino acid is attached (by aminoacyl-tRNA synthetases). tRNAs cope with the degeneracy of the genetic code in two manners: having more than one tRNA (with a specific anti-codon) for a particular amino acid; and 'wobble' base-pairing, i.e. permitting non-standard base-pairing at the 3rd anti-codon position.
Source: RNAcentral